Molecule: non-coding RNA, 1646 nt
Organism: Phalacrocorax carbo (great cormorant)
Lineage: Eukaryota; Metazoa; Chordata; Aves; Suliformes; Phalacrocoracidae
Source: RefSeq, a predicted model, not a curated record
CGGAGCUCGGCCGGGGGCAGCGGCGGGCGCGCAGGGGCUGCCCGGGUCUCCCCAGGGACACAUAAGGGAGCCUUGCUCUCCUGAAGAUAAACAAAAAUAAUAUAUAUAUAAAAAAAACCCAACUCUUUUUGAACUUUUCUGCUCGGUUUAAGCGCUGCAGGUGGGUAAGGAGGGCGACACCUUUACCUUCCAGGACAUUGUAAACACUCACAAGCUAUUACAGCUCAGAAUCAUCACUCCAACACAAAGCAAAAGGGGUUGAAUCCAGCUCGCCGAAAGGACAGCACUGGGAAUGACGGUCUUACUCUGAAGUGAUACUGGAGCAGAGCAGCUCCAGUCCUUGCAGGAAAGGACAGGGCUACAGCAGCACUGGGGGCGUACAGGAUGGCAUGCAGCACCGGAGCAAACCAACAUGAGGAGGUGACAACAUGGCCAGGUGAUAACUGUGGGGUACAAGAGCAGCACUGGCUCUGCUGGCAGGAGUCACUUGGAAGGAGGGGACGUGGCCUCAGCAUCCCCACAAGAACUGGGCCCUGUUCACCUUGUUCAGCAUCAAUCAGCAUCCCUCUCUCCUGACCACAUCCCUGCGUGUCCCUCCUGACUUGCUGAGGACCAGCAUCACCUUGCACCUUCAUCUUCAAGGGGUGAACAAGGAGCAGAUCUUCUGACUGACAAGAGCUUUCUGUCCACCCAUUCCUUUUCUGUUUAGCCUGAGAAGCACCCAGAAAUGCUCCUAGGUUCAGGCCUAUCCACCAGCAGUGGAAGAUCAGCACUCAGCGGAGCAGUCACGGCUGCCUUUCCGUGCCACUCGGAGGCAACCUUCCUUCCUGCUCCCAUUCCCCAGCAUCUCCUUGGCCUUCAGACGGCUUUCGAAGCUCACAGACAGGCGAUGCCGAGCCAUGGGAACCUCCCACUCCCACUUUCUCCCUAAUAUUUCCACAGUGAGUAAAUCUCCAUCCUUUUAGGGCUCUCAAAUCUAUUAUUUUUAUAUUUGCAGUGGAUUCCUUGGCCCUGUUAUUAAUGAAAACCUCCAGGAAAGCUCCUCAAAUACAGCUUUGACUUUCUGCCCAGGACCUGUGGACAAGGAAUAAAAAAAAAAAAAAAAAAAGGCAACAUUAAUAAAGCAGGAGGUUUCUAUUAAGUCUGAGGGACUGGACGCUCUGGCUUUCUUGGAUGCUGAAAUCCUCUAGUGCAGGAUAAAUCUUAUACACUUCAUUUUCCCAAUCUCUCCUUCAAUAUAUUUUAAGAGAGCGUUGCUAGUAUCAGAGUAAAUAAUGUCCUAACUGCAAACGUGGGGUCUGCAGAGUGGCGUGGGUCAGCUUGUGGGCUGUGGCAUCCUCCACUGUGGUCUGCUUGUGGUCUCAGCCCUCUCUCCGUAAUCGGGAGGUUGAGCUUGGAGAGGUUUUAAUUAGCCACGAAUACAAAUAACAAGCAAUUCCUUGGAGGCUGGGGAAGGAAGUGGGUGAGCUAACAUUAUGGAGAUGUGCACUAAGUCACAAAAUAUGCAAAUCAACAAGCUCUGUAACCGACACCACCUUGGUGUGAGCAAACCUCCCCCAGCCCUCUUUCCUUCUAGCAAGAUGCAUUUCCCAUCUGCCUGCAAGGGAACUCUCCAUUUGCAGGCUCUGCUGUCGUCUUCGCACAGC